GCUGCACGAAGCUGGAAUCGCUAGUAAUCGCGGAUCAGAAUGCCGCGGUGAAUACGUUCCCGGGUCUUGUACACACCGCCCGUCACACCAUGGGAGCUGGAAAUGCCCGAAGUCGGUGACCCAACCUGAGAAGGAGGGAGCCGUCGAAGGCGGGUCUGAUGACUGGGGUGAAGUCGUAACAAGGUAGC
Molecule: ribosomal RNA, 188 nt
Filed under: uncultured bacterium
Lineage: Bacteria
Description: partial 16S ribosomal RNA
Rfam family: Bacterial small subunit ribosomal RNA
Source: RNAcentral